CAGGAUCCACAUAAUGAUAAAACGUCAAAGACUGGAGACAAUUACACACCUCUAUGCCAUUACUGGGAGACUUGAGAAAGAAUGGGUUAUUUGAGGUUUUAAAAAAUGAACGGCAGCAUGGCAAAGUCAAAUCUCUUUCCCUCAGAGUGCGUUGCCAGCGGCUCCUGCAUGAACAUUGUCCUGAUUGCACAACACUCAGACUGCCAUCUGCAAGCUAUUUAUGGGUGUUUGGCAUCUAUAAAAGGAAAUCAAGAAUGAUCCACACACGAGCAGUAAAACACACUUAACUUCAUGGGGGUGGGUGGGGGGGUGUCACUGAUUUGUUCUCGUUUCAAGUCUUGUUUUGAAAUCUGGAUUGGAGCAGAUCUUCAGGAGUAUGAAGGUUGUAAUUAUGAAUGCGAGGAAGGUAAGACUGAUUGCAAAUUUGAAUUUUCCAUUUAGUAAACCGUCCUGUAAGGUGAAAAUAUUAUCUAUUACCGACCAGAAAGAUGGACAAUUUGUGGGUUUACUUUGCCCCCCCCUCCCAGCAGUCACCAGUCUCACUCACAUAAACAGACGGUUUAUAUUCAGCUGCUGUGGCUUGAUACUUAACCGGCUAUUUCCCUUCACGCUGGGAUAAACAACAACACAGCUUUCGGAGGAAACUCAAUGCCUUUUAAUGUGGGAGUAUCUGUGGACUUCAAUAAAUUAUUACACAUUUCUGGUAACUGAGAUUAAGAAAAUAAAUCUUUCUUCCCACGUUCUGUAAUAGAAUGUGACCCUUACUGACAGUUGUGUCUGUUUAACUUGAGCAUGAGACCUAUAAUCUAAAAACUUAUUUAUAGUCUUUUGAGAAAGCCCGAUGUCUUCAGAAGUGGCUGGCACUGGUCUAUAUUUGCACACGCUAUCUGCUUUGCAGGGAGGGCGGUUUGUGUUGGUCUGUAAUUAAAACCGAAUUCUUUUUGCUCUGGUGUUUCCCUGAUCUGAUAAAAACAGGUGUGGGAGAAGAAGCUGGUAAUGGUUGCAGCAGGAGCACCAGAUAAAUCUACUACUUUCUCAUUUGUACCAGAGGUGCACAGAUUACCUGCUCAAAUCAUUUUUACCGAGGAGGAUGCAUCCCAAGCUCUGGCUGUGAAAUCAGAUACGGUACAGUCGAAGCAUAAACUGAGAAGCUUUUCUGCAGCUUCUUUUCUGCUCCAUUCUCCAGCUGUUUUAACAAGGAAAUCUUUAAAAGCAUCUCUCCAGCUUCUGUCUGCAAUUAUUUGCAACCACUCUGUUUGAAGUAUUGGAUUUGCUGAAUCUAAAAAAAACCUUCCUUUAUGUCUGCACUUUCACACUUUUAAAUAACCAUAAUUUCAUUUCAUAAACAUGUGAUCCCUUAAUUUCAUCAAUCAUUCAGGUUUUCUUGUGUAUUAUUAUCCUCAAACCUUCAGUUUCAAAGACUAAAACAAAAAGGUGGUGUCCAUUGUCAGAAAAUAAUUGACGACUCAGAGGCCUUCACGUCAGACUUUUGUCUCUGCAAAGUCCUAUAAUUUCAGAUGAUGGACACCUCGAAAGGCCAUUAUUCUGUUUAUUCUAUGGUCAUUUAUAAAAGAUAUAAAUACAAAAUCAAUUAUCAGUAAUUUACUGUAAUUUUUAAAGCUGAAUUUUUUUUUUUACAAGAAGCAAAUAAUUUAAUAUGACCACCCUGCAAAGGAAAGUUUAAUAUAUGCUUUACGGGAUGUUAAGUGACACAAAGCAUUACUUCAGGGGAAAGUUCACCUCUUAUUGAUUGUUUUCGUCCAGAUGAUGCAAAAAUGAGCUUCGUAGAAACAAUUUACAAGUAGUUUCUUAGAUCACUUUAAUUCUGAGAAAUGUUCACCAUCAACUCUGAUCAUUACAUCUGUAUCAACAAACAAAGAUUUUAUAUCAUUAAUUAAAAAUGACAGCUUUAAUAAUUACUUUUGCUUUUUUUAUACGAGCAGAAGGUGAAGUUCUCAUCACAAACACCUGCAGCACCUACCAAUGAGAAAAACAUGAACUAAAAUCCCAUCUUUGUUGUGCACCACAUGCAUUGAACAUGACAUUUGCUUAACUUGCUGUCUAAUGUUCCUUUAAUUGUCUGUUCUUUGUGACAUUAAAUGUUAAUCUACAGGAUCGCACAAAAGAAACAAUUCUGUAGUGUCUAAGUAUUUAGGACACCUGAUAAAAUAUUUUCCAAAAUUUAACAAAGUUUUUGACAUGAACAUAUCAUGUUAAGAGGAAUCACUGCAGGGCAAACAACGCAGAUGAAAACGGCCCCCCACGGGUGCUCAUGUCAGCCCCCCGUGGUGUCGGUUUCUGGAGGGCUUAAAGAGCACUUGGAUGUUUAUCCAUCACCAGCGUCAGAACAGCACUGCAGUGCUGGAUGCCAGAAGGCGUCUUGUUGGCUGCCUGCAUAAAAACUUCAAAGGUGUUUUUCUGCAGGGGGGUGGCGCCUUGGGUUUCACAACUUCCUCUUUUGCCAUUAGUGGCAGCCCUUCUGUGACAAAUGGCAAAAAGGGCAAUCUAAAUGUUUGAUCUUAUCAACUGGUUAGGAGUUUUAGAACGAGCUCUUGUUCAGCUGAAACAACAUUUCAUUGGUGGCAAAUAUUUUAUAAUUUUUUUAAAGAAAUUAGUGUAUGUUAUUCUUUGAGGCUCUAUAGCAGUGGUUCCCAACCCCCAGACUGGUACCAGUCCGUGGGACAGUUGCUACCGGGCCGCAGAGAAAAAAAGCCCAUCUUACAUUUUUUCCAUUUUAUUUAUAAUCUGAUUCUGAAGGAAGUUUUAUUUUAGGAAACUACUAUUUGGAAUCUGUGAGUAAAUUUGAGUAUACUGUAUGUAUUGAAUAAAAACUAUGAUAAAAGUAUUAAUACUUGGUACCGAUAGUAUCAAUACUCAGAUCAAUACACCCACCCCUACUCCCCACCACAUCCAACUCAUUCUUGACGGAAAUCACGUUGCUCGGUCACGUGUCGACAAUUCAUCCUCUUUCUUUAAGUGGCUGCACCGACCGCUAAAUUGAAACUUUUAAGAUAACAAAGUUAACAAAAAACAAACGUAUUUGAAAGAUUUCAACAGAAGAAGUGCCUUUAACUUUAUUGAACAAAAAUUCUACAUUUAAUGGACAAAAGCCAGGAGUCUUUAA
Molecule: long non-coding RNA, 3124 nt
Filed under: Oryzias sinensis (Chinese medaka)
Lineage: Eukaryota; Metazoa; Chordata; Actinopteri; Beloniformes; Adrianichthyidae
Description: lncRNA (ENSOSIG00000010332.1)
Source: RNAcentral